Molecule: ribosomal RNA, 253 nt
Filed under: uncultured bacterium
Lineage: Bacteria
Description: partial 16S ribosomal RNA
Rfam family: Bacterial small subunit ribosomal RNA
Source: RNAcentral
UACAGAGGUCUCAAGCGUUGUUCGGAUUCAUUGGGCGUAAAGGGUGUGUAGGUGGCGCGCUAAGUCGGGUGUGAAAUUUCGGAGCUUAACUCCGAAACUGCAUUCGAUACUGCGGUGCUUGAGGACUGGAGAGGAGACUGGAAUUUACGGUGUAGCGGUGAAAUGCGUAGAUAUCGUAAGGAAGACCAGUGGCGAAGGCGGGUCUCUGGGCCGAUACUGACGCUGAGGAGCGAAAGCGUGGGGAGCGAACAGG